This 407-nucleotide unclassified non-coding RNA is filed under the name fungal sp. RNAcentral's name for it is "partial internal transcribed spacer region". The stretch from base 1 to 46 matches the Rfam family "Eukaryotic small subunit ribosomal RNA", at positions 1786 to 1831 of the family's 1831-position model. Lineage: Eukaryota; Fungi. The record is from RNAcentral.
AAGUCGUAACAAGGUUUCCGUUGGUGAACCUGCGGAAGGAUCAUUAACACGUAUCCAAACGUUAAAACCCCCAAUGACGCUUUCAGACACUGACUGCUUGGGGAAACAAGGCCUAUAAACCUUCCGCUCGAAUUGUAACUGUUCCAAUUUUCUCACGGGCCGGAGGUCUCUGAAUCAAACUGCUUACAUUGAUUUACCAGAGAUUGCAAGCGCCGCGGGUGACAAGAGCAGGAUUGAAUGUUCACGGGGAUAGCGCUUCACGAUUCCUGUAGACCGUACACUCGGGCAGGAGCUAGGCCAAAGGGUCACCAUGCCCCCUUGCGGCCCCACAGUUUAUUGCAAAGCUCAAUGUAAUACAUUGGGUAAAAAGACUUGAACAACUGUUAACAAUGGAUAUCUUGGUUCUC